This is a non-coding RNA of Dermacentor albipictus, 435 nucleotides long. The record is from RefSeq and is a predicted model, not a curated record. Lineage: Eukaryota; Metazoa; Arthropoda; Arachnida; Ixodida; Ixodidae.
UCUGCUCCGGCCACUUCCUAUGCGCGUGCACGUUUUUUCGUAUGCUUCACAGUAAAAAAGUUUCUUUGUGCGCCCACGAACGUUCCAGCAGUGUCGGGAAAUCGGAGAAAAGGCACAAGGCCUGCUGCAUGGCUUUUUGGUAUGGCAACUCGUGGACGAACAGCAGGGUGAAACUUCUGCGUUUUCCAGUGGACGAGAGGACUCGGCUCGUUUGCAUGGAACAAUCAAAUGAGAGGUGAACAAAUUUAGGCGCGGCCGACCGUCUAUGAGUGGGAAGGUGCCUGUGUGGAGUCCGUGGAGUGCUUCCGCAGACGAGAACAUCCCAGGUGGACACAAGCCUGAAGAAAUGGGCACGCACUCUAGACUGACGUUGUGAUGCCGGAUGCACUAUACCCGCUCGUUGGAGAGGGACUAUUUCUGUAGACGUGGAGGCAA